GACGAACGCUGGCGGCGUGCUUAACACAUGCAAGUCGAACGCUGAAGCUCAGCUUUUGUUGGGUGGAUGAGUGGCGAACGGGUGAGUAACACGUGAGUAACCUGCCCCCUUCUUUGGGAUAACGCCCGGAAACGGGUGCUAAUACUGGAUAUUCACUGGUCUUCGCAUGGGGGUUGGUGGAAAGGGUUUUUCUGGUGGGGGAUGGGCUCGCGGCCUAUCAGCUUGUUGGUGGGGUGAUGGCCUACCAAGGCUUUGACGGGUAGCCGGCCUGAGAGGGUGACCGGUCACAGUGGGACUGAGAUACGGCCAAGACUCCUACGGGAGGCAGCAGUGGGGAAUAUUGCACAAUGGGCGCAAGCCUGAUGCAGCGACGCCGCGUGAGGGAUGGAGGCCUUCGGGUUGUGAACCUCUUUCGCUCAUGGUCAAGCCGCAACAAUGGUUGUGGUGAGGGUAGUGGGUAAAGAAGCGCCGGCUAACUACGUG
RNAcentral lists this ribosomal RNA (483 nucleotides) under uncultured bacterium. RNAcentral describes it as "partial 16S ribosomal RNA". It matches the Rfam family "Bacterial small subunit ribosomal RNA", at positions 28 to 507 of the family's 1533-position model. The record is from RNAcentral.